Molecule: ribosomal RNA, 903 nt
Filed under: Sphaerulina westendorpii
Lineage: Eukaryota; Fungi; Ascomycota; Dothideomycetes; Mycosphaerellales; Mycosphaerellaceae
Also listed under: 1 other name
Description: LSU rRNA
Rfam family: Eukaryotic large subunit ribosomal RNA
Source: RNAcentral
UUAAGCAUAUCAAUAAGCGGAGGAAAAGAAACCAACAGGGAUUGCCCUAGUAACGGCGAGUGAAGCGGCAACAGCUCAAAUUUGAAAUCUGGCGCAAGCCCGAGUUGUAAUUUGUAGAGGAUGCUUCUGGGUAGCGACCGAUCUAAGUUCCUUGGAACAGGACGUCAUAGAGGGUGAGAAUCCCGUAUGUGACCGGCCCGCACCCUUUACGUAGCUCCUUCGACGAGUCGAGUUGUUUGGGAAUGCAGCUCUAAAUGGGAGGUAAAUUUCUUCUAAAGCUAAAUACCGGCCAGAGACCGAUAGCGCACAAGUAGAGUGAUCGAAAGAUGAAAAGUACUUUGGAAAGAGAGUUAAAAAGCACGUGAAAUUGUUGAAAGGGAAGCGCCUGCAACCAGACUUCGCGGCAGUGUUCCGCCGGUCUUCUGACCGGUUCAUUCUCUGUCGCGAGGCCAUCAUCGUCUGGGCCCGCCGGAUAAGACCUUAGGAAUGUAGCUCACCUUCGGGGGAGUGUUAUAGCCUAGGGUGAUGCGGCGAGGCUCGGGCGAGGUCCGCGCUUCGGCAAGGAUGAUGGCGUAAUGGUUGUCGGCGGCCCGUCUUGAAACACGGACCAAGGAGUCUAACAUCUAUGCGAGUGUUCGGGUGUCAAACCCCUACGCGUAAUGAAAGUGAACGGAGGUGGGAACCGCAAGGUGCACCAUCGACCGAUCCUGAUGUCCUCGGAUGGAUUUGAGUAAGAGCAUAGCUGUUGGGACCCGAAAGAUGGUGAACUAUGCCUGAAUAGGGUGAAGCCAGAGGAAACUCUGGUGGAGGCUCGCAGCGGUUCUGACGUGCAAAUCGAUCGUCAAAUUUGGGUAUAGGGGCGAAAGACUAAUCGAACCAUCUAGUAGCUGGUUCCUGCCGAAG